Molecule: unclassified non-coding RNA, 172 nt
Filed under: soil metagenome
Description: partial contains 5.8S ribosomal RNA, internal transcribed spacer 2, and large subunit ribosomal RNA
Source: RNAcentral
AACCAUAGAAACCUGCGGAGUACCUGCGGAGGGAUCAUUAAAAAAAUGAUGAAUGUCGGGGGGCGUUUUGUUCCCUGUGUAUUCAACCAACCCGCUCUUGUAUUUGGAUCAACCAAAAAUCUAAAAAAGCAAAAUUUAUAAUUAAUAAAAAUAAACUUUCAACAAUGGAUCU